Molecule: ribosomal RNA, 472 nt
Filed under: uncultured bacterium
Lineage: Bacteria
Description: bacterial SSU rRNA
Rfam family: Bacterial small subunit ribosomal RNA
Source: RNAcentral
CGCUGAGAUCCUACGGGAGGCAGCAGUGGGGAAUAUUGCACAAUGGGCGCAAGCCUGAUGCAGUCCAUGCCGCGUGUAUGAAGAAGGCCUUCGGGUUGUAAAGUACUUUCAGCAGUGAGGAAGGUGGAGUCGUUAAUAGCGGCCUCAUUUGACGUUAGCUGCAGAAGAAGCACCGGCUAACUCCGUGCCAGCAGCCGCGGUAAUACGGAGGGUGCGAGCGUUAAUCGGAAUUACUGGGCGUAAAGCGCAUGCAGGUGGUUUGUUAAGUCAGAUGUGAAAGCCCGGGGCUCAACCUCGGAAUUGCAUUUGAAACUGGCAGACUAGAGUACUGUAGAGGGGGUAGAAUUUCAGGUGUAGCGGUGAAAUGCGUAGAGAUCUGAAGGAAUACCGGUGGCGAAGGCGGCCCCCUGGACAGAUACUGACACUCAGAUGCGAAAGCGUGGGGAGCAAACAGGAUUAGAUACCCUGGUAG